UCCCUGGUGGCUCAGACAGUAAAAGCGUCUGCCUUCAAUGCAGGAGACCCAGGUUCAAUCUCUGGGUCAGGAAG
This is a non-coding RNA of Ovis aries (sheep), 74 nucleotides long. The record is from Rfam. Lineage: Eukaryota; Metazoa; Chordata; Mammalia; Artiodactyla; Bovidae.